AACUCUUAGUGGUGGAUCACUCAGCUCGUGCGUUGAUUAAUGUGAAUUGCAGGCCACAUCACUGAUCAUCGAUGCUUCAAAUGCAGUUGCGGCCCUGUUUUCCUGCUGGGGCUAUGGCUGUCUGAGUGUCG
Molecule: ribosomal RNA, 131 nt
Filed under: Apteryx haastii (Great spotted kiwi)
Lineage: Eukaryota; Metazoa; Chordata; Aves; Apterygiformes; Apterygidae
Description: 5.8S ribosomal RNA (ENSAHAG00000016260.1)
Rfam family: 5.8S ribosomal RNA
About the family: 5.8S ribosomal RNA (5.8S rRNA) is a component of the large subunit of the eukaryotic ribosome. It is transcribed by RNA polymerase I as part of the 45S precursor that also contains 18S and 28S rRNA.
Source: RNAcentral